Molecule: small nuclear RNA, 164 nt
Filed under: Sus scrofa (pig)
Lineage: Eukaryota; Metazoa; Chordata; Mammalia; Artiodactyla; Suidae
Description: U1 spliceosomal RNA (multiple genes)
Rfam family: U1 spliceosomal RNA
About the family: U1 is a small nuclear RNA (snRNA) component of the spliceosome (involved in pre-mRNA splicing).
Source: RNAcentral
AUAUUCAUUUGGCAGAGAAGAUACCAUCUUCAUGAAGGUGGUUUUGCCUUGAAGAGUCUCCUCUGUUUCUCUCCAGAAGUGCUGACCUCUGCAAUUUUCCCAAAUGUGGGAAACUUGACUGCAGUACUUGGCAGGGGGGGGGACUGUGUUUGUACUUUCUCUUG